This 500-nucleotide ribosomal RNA is filed under the name uncultured bacterium. RNAcentral's name for it is "partial 16S ribosomal RNA". It matches the Rfam family "Bacterial small subunit ribosomal RNA", at positions 30 to 523 of the family's 1533-position model. The record is from RNAcentral.
AUUGAACGCUGGCGGCAGGCCUAACACAUGCAAGUCGAGCGAAUGACGGGAGCUUGCUCCUUGAUUCAGCGGCGGACGGGUGAGCAAUGCCUAGAAAUCUGCCUGGUAGUGGGGGACAACGUUUCGAAAGGAACGCUAAUACCGCAUACGUCCUACGGGAGAAAGCAGGGGACCUUCGGGCCUUGCGCUACCAGAUGAGCCUAGGUCGGAUUAGCUAGUUGGUGGUGUAAUGGCUCACCAAGGCGACGAUCCGGAACUGGUCUGAGAGGAUGAUCAGACACACUGGAACUGAGACACCGUCCAGACUCCUACGGGAGGCAGCAGUGGGAAAUAUUGGACAAUGGGCGAAAGCCUGAUCCAGCCAUGCCGCGUGUGUGAAGAAGGUCUUCGGAUUGUAAAGCACUUUAAGUUGGGAGGAAGGGCAGUAAGUUAAUACCUUGCUGUUUUGACGUUACCGACAGAAUAAGCACCGGCUAACUCUGUGCCAGCAGCCGCGGUAA